GUUAGGAUGGCAGGAAGUCUUUCCCCAUAUGCUUCCAUGAUUUGCCUUGGAAUAUCUCUUGAAAUACAUCUCCAAGCAGCUCCCAUUGAACGGUAUGCAUCUACAUCACGUCAAAGAUGACGUUCUUCGGUGAUGGAGAGGAUUAAAAUAGCCAUUAAGCUGCAAAAUAACACCACAUGUCAUGUAAAGCACAAAAUAAAGAUACAGAUUGCA
Molecule: long non-coding RNA, 213 nt
Organism: Pezoporus occidentalis (night parrot)
Lineage: Eukaryota; Metazoa; Chordata; Aves; Psittaciformes; Psittacidae
Exons: 2
Source: RefSeq, a predicted model, not a curated record